This 466-nucleotide ribosomal RNA is filed under the name uncultured bacterium. RNAcentral describes it as "bacterial SSU rRNA". It matches the Rfam family "Bacterial small subunit ribosomal RNA", at positions 32 to 507 of the family's 1533-position model. The record is from RNAcentral.
AAUCAACGCUGGCGGCGUGCCUCAGACAUGCAAGUCGAACGAUUAAAGCUCUCUUCGGAGAGUGUAUAGAGUGGCGCACGGGUGAGUAACACGUAAGUAAUCUACCCUCGAGUGGGGGAAUAACAACCGGAAACGGUUGCUAAUACCGCAUAAUGCAGCGGCACCGCAAGGUGACAGUUGUUAAAGAUUUAUCGCUUGAGGAGGAGCUUGCGGCAGAUUAGCUAGUUGGUAGGUAACGGCUUACCAAGGCUACGAUCUGUAACCGGUCUAAGAGGACGGUCGGUCACACUGACACUGAAUAACGGGUCAGACUCCUACGGGAGGCAGCAGUCGGGAAUUUUGGGCAAUGGGCGAAAGCCUGACCCAGCAACGCCGCGUGAAGGAUGAAGUAUUUCGGUAUGUAAACUUCGAAAGAAUAGGAAGAAUUAAAUGACGGUACUAUUUAUAAGGUCCGGCUAACUACGUG